CUGCAACCUCAUGGUUCCUAGUCGGAUUCGUUAACCACUGCGCCACGACGGGAACUCCUUUUCUUUUAAAAAUUUUACUGGAGUAGGAGUUCCUGUUGUGGCUCAGCGGGUUAAGAACCUGACUAGUAUGCAUGAGGAUUCAGGUUUGCUCCCUAGCCUUGCUCAGUGGGUUAAGGAUCUGAUGUUGCCAUGAGCCUAUGGUUUAGGUCGCAGACUCAACUCAAAUCCUGAAUUGCGAUGGCUGUGGCUGUGGCUAUGGCCAGCAGCUGCAUCUCCGAUUUGACCCGUAGCCUGGGAAUCUCCAUGUGCUGUGGGUGUGGCCCUAAAAUGACCACAAAAAAAAAAACUUAUUGGGGUAUAAUUGACUUACAAUGCUGUGUUAAUUUCAGGUGUACAACAAGGUGAAUCAGUCAUACAUAGAUAUUUACCCAUUAUUUUUCAGAUUCUUCUCCCAUAUAGGUUAUUACAGAAUAUUGAGUAGAGUUUCCUGUGCUGUACAGCAGCUCCUUGUUAGUUAUCUAUUUUAUAUAUAAUUGGGUAUAUAUGUUAAUCCCAAACUCUUAAUUUAUCCCUCUCCCCCACGUUUCCUCUUUGGUAACCAUAAAUUCGAUUUUGAAAUGUGCUGUGUCUGUUUCUGUUUUGUAAAGUUCUUUUGUAUCAUCUCCCUAAGUCAUUCAUUAUUUUUUGUCAGUUGGAGUGAUUUAUUUUGUUCCUUGAAAAAUUAUUGAAAACAUACCCAUAUUAAGAUACAUGCGUUAUUUUACUGUCAUUUUUUAACUUGGGAAUUCUCUCUAAUAUUUCAAAAACUUUUAAUUAAAGCAUAGUUGAUUUAAAGUGUUGUACCAAUUUCUGCUACACUGCAUUAGUGACCCAGUUAUACAUAUUUAUACAUUCUUUUCGUAUACUAUCUUCCAUCAUACUCUAUCCCAAGAGAUUGGAUAUAGUUCCCUGGACUUUCUCUUAACUCUCAUUUCUGUCUGAAAUGAAUUGAUGGCAUGUUACCGAUCCUGCAUGCUAUCCCAACUUUUCCUGAGUAACCACUUCCUGCUGCCCUAGGACACUGGGAAUGGGGUCGUAAGGUGGAUACAAACACAUAUGCACACAGAAUUAUAUCCAGAGAUGAUUAUAGAUGUCCUGAUGACAUGACCACCUAUAUCCCACAGAUAAUCCCCUUAAUUGGCACAGCUUGAGAAAGAGCCAGGUUUUCCUGGCCUGUCUAUGAAUCUCUUCCUUACUGCCCAGAAUACCGUGGCAGGGAUCUCCAACCCUCCCCACUCCUGAUCUUCAGAGCUUUUUCACUGGCACAAGAUAAUUAUUUUUUCUAAUAAGGUCGCACAUCCCCUGACAAACCUACCGAAAUAGCUCCUCUUGGAGUGGAGCUUGGAUCAUGGAGUUUUAAAUGAGUUCUUCAGGAACGUCUUUGUGUCUUUGGGGUUGGAGACCAUUGAAAAGAGGGGGAGCAUUGCACCCAGGGAGUAAGACAUUCCUCAGCUGGUUUUAACGAAAGAAAAGAGAGUACAAUGUUGCCACCAGCAGGAGUUGGUAGAAAGACCCAGUGGAAGCACCAAUAAGCGAAAGGACAAUCAUCAAAGGAGUCUGGGCCACCAGGGAGGACACUUAGAUGCUUGGGCACCAAGAUAAGACAUAAAGGUGAUUCAAAACAAGACAACACUAUCGAGAGUCUUGCCUGUGAGCUUUCUGCCCCCAACAGACAAACUUGUGUUGGCCGAGGCGGAUAGGAAUGUUUUUUCCCAGCUAGGAAGGGCCAUCCUAAACCCAUGCUUAUCCACAAGCAGGGCACUCUGACUAACCCUCCCCUGGGCCCACCUCAGAAGAGCCCAAACUCAUUUCUUAAACAGAUAGGUCAAAGCAGGACCAAACCCAUCUGCAAUGACAACCUGCUAAUGUAGCGUUGCCUUAGCACACAGUAGUGUCAAUACUGCUUUUCACUUUUAGUUGUAUCAACAGCUGGGUUCUUGGCCUUGGGUUCCCUGACAAACCAAAUUAGAGCACAGGGCAGAGCCCUGACCACAGCCGCACUAGCAAGAUGAGCCAGGGUUUGCUGGAGGCAGCUCCAGUCAACCUCAAUUCUGCUUCUCUGGCUCCAUGACAAAGCACCCAGGGAAGGCUACCCAGACCUGCGACUGUCCAGCCUAGAUGGCUCACAUGCACCCUGGGUCCUGAAAAACACUUCUUCUCAUCUGGGCUCAAGACAACAGCAGUAGCCCUUUAUCUAGCAUCUUCCACAAGCUCUUUGCUCAACGUGUUACAUCCAUGCUUGUUCAUCUUGAUCAGAACCCUGCAAUAUAUGUAUUAUUUUGGAGCUCAGAAAGGUGAAUGUGAGAGAAAUUCAGAGUGUCUUAUCCCAAACCAUGAAGCCAAUAAAUAUAUUUUUGGAGUACCCAAGAAGCCUUAGUGUUUUUAAGAACUGAGCUAUGAAUGUGUUUGUUGUUAUAAAAGUUAUUUUGAAACAUAUAUAUUUUUUAAAAUGAGCUCUGAAGCAUUUGUUUUUUGCUCAAGAUCAAUGACUCAAUUAUUGAAUUAAAAAAUAAUAUCCCAAAUCUAAACAGGUGUCUGUCUGAGUGAGCCAGAGUAAGCAUCCAUAUGGUGGUAUUGCAAAAGUUUCUAUUCUGAGACCAAAUCUUAAGUCUAAAUUUUUUCUAAACAAGUGGGAUAUAAAAAUGAUAGUGUGGAGUUCCCAUUGUGGCUCAGUGGGAACCUGACAUAGUAUCCAUGAAGAUGUGUGUUCAGUCCCUGGCCUCGCUCAGUAGGUUAAAGAGCCAGCAUUGCCACAAGGUGAGGCAUAGGUCACAGAUGUGACUCAGAUCUGAUGUUGCUAUGGCUGUGGCUUGCAGCCACAGCUCUGAUUCUGCAGCCCAGGAAUUUCCAUUGCAUUGCAGGUGUGGCCUUUAAAAAAAAAGAAGAAGAAGCUUUAUGUUUAAAAAAGAAAAAAAGAAUAUAUGAAAAUUGAUGAGGUAACUUUGCAUUGGAUGAAAGUCAAGAGAGUAAAGAUCAAAUACCGAACUCUCUUAGAAAGAGCAGAAAAUUAUAUAGGGCUCCUGAAUUAGUCAGUCCAGGCUGCCAUGACAAAAAUCCACAGACUGGGGGACUUCAGCAAAAGAAAUUUAUUUCCCACAGUUCCGGGGCUGGAAGUCCACACUCAAAGUGUCAGCAGUGUUGAUUUCUCCUGAAGGCUCCUCAUUGGCUUGUGUAUGGCCACCUCCCCAGUACAUCUUCACGUAGCCUUUCUUCUGUGCCUGUGCAUUCCUGCUGUUUUUUCCUCUUCUUAUAAGGACACCAGUCCUAUUGGAUUAGGGCCCCCCCCUUAUGACUUCAUUUAACCUUAAUAACCACUUCGAAGGCCUUAUUUCAAAUGUAGUUACAUUGGGGAUUAAGGUGUCAACAAAUGAAUGACAAGGGGGAUACAAUUCAGUCCAUAAUAGCUCUUUAUCAGUUAGAGUGCAGUUCUUGGGGGAAAAAAGAUCUGAUGUAAAUCUCAUGGCACUUUCUUACGUAAACCAAGAGCUCAUCUCCUGGGUGUCAAGCUCUUCUUCCCUGAUCUUUUGGUGUAACAUGGUCACACCAUCUGAAAGGACCAAACUCCCCUGGACUCCAGGCCAUGGACAGGUCCGCCCUUAUUCUUCAGCUGUUUCUCUCAAGUCCGUUUGGCUCCUCUGAAGCAAGUUCUCAAGCCCCUUCUCCCUGUGCUACAGGUCCAUCAGCAUUUGUUCUCUGCCAGCUAUGGGGUUGGAACUCCAGGGCGCCCUAGGAUUCAUUGGAUGCCAUAUCUCUAGAUACUCUUCAGCAUCUCUUCACAUGUCCCAGCAGGUGCCAGCCAUCUCUUCCUGUUUCUGGUUAGGCAGGCAACUAAGUUCCUGUUCCUGAACUGAAUGGCCCAUCCUUCCCACAGCCAGUUCUGGAGUAAAGAUGAGGUUGAAUGGGGAGCCCCAAGGAUGCUCGUCACUUACUGGCUCAGAUGACCAGCCCACUUCUUUCUUGGAUUUCCUAGGUCUCCUUGGUGCAUACUUACGCACACUGCUCAGAGAAAGGGUUUUCCCAUCAAAUCACUGAGUAAGAUGGUAAGUGGGUCUUCACAGGUCCUGACAAUGAUCCAUUUAUCCAUCUGGGUAUUCAUUGCAGCAGGGUGCUCAGUUUGUGAAAAUUCACUGUACGCUUACGGCAUAUACAGUUUUAGUAUGUGGCACUUCAAUGCCAAAUUCCCGCAGUUCCCUCAGAACACACAAACACACUAACAACAAUUUUGAAAACAGCAAAUAAAUAGCAUGCAUAUUGCCACAGUCUUCUUGUUAUCUUCAUUUUUGUGUCCAUUCCUACAGACUCUGUGCAUAUUCUUUUCUUUAUUUCUUCCUUCAUUUCUUUCUCCCUUCCUCCCUCCUUCCCUCACUACCUCUCUCCUUCCUUCCUUUCUUUUUUUCUCUUUCUUUCUUUCUUUCUGUUGCAAACCCUCAUGCAUCCUUCUUUUCCCACUUAACAUAUGGAAUAAACAUUUCCUGCAACUUAGUUGCAAUAAUUGCAAUGGUUUCAUAUUUUACCCACAGUGUGGUGUGUUAAGCAUGGGAACUCUAUGAUAGCUCUCAGAAAGAGAAGGAAGAUAUUCUGGAGAUGACCCUAGGGGGUCUGAGGAGAAAUGCAAGCACCUGGACAGCUCCCUCCCAUGGUCCAGCCCAAGUGAAUGAAAUGUAGAACUGAGUGUUAACCUGCAGAAGCAUGGAUCUUCCCAUGAGAAACCAAUUUUUGUGUGAAGCAUGAUUUAGCAUCUGAUGCCCUUGGAUCUUAAUGUUCUCAUCAGUCACUUAAGAGCAGACAAUCCUGGCAGAUAACUUCAAGCUGAGAAUUGGAUCCCACUCUGUGAAAGGAGAAUGUCUGCCUCACAGGACUUGGUAUUAAACACCAUGGCAUGUAAAGUAUCUAGCAUAGAGCAGGUGCUCAAAUGACCUCAGAGGAAUCCUUGAGGUAUGGAUCAUCAGAAACCCCUUUAAACACACUUAACACCUGAGCUAUGGAUCAGAUAGACUUUCUUAUUGAAGGUUCAACCUAUCUCCUUUAAUUGCUGGUUAAGAGAACUUAUGCAAGUCAUUUCACCUCUGUGUGCCUCAG
This 5118-nucleotide long non-coding RNA is filed under the name Sus scrofa (pig). RNAcentral describes it as "lncRNA (ENSSSCG00055016947.1)". The record is from RNAcentral. Lineage: Eukaryota; Metazoa; Chordata; Mammalia; Artiodactyla; Suidae.